Molecule: long non-coding RNA, 307 nt
Filed under: Equus caballus (horse)
Lineage: Eukaryota; Metazoa; Chordata; Mammalia; Perissodactyla; Equidae
Description: lncRNA (ENSECAG00000045803.1)
Source: RNAcentral
UUUCCACUUAAGGCAAAACUGCAGGUCUCCGAAAAACUGCUUCAUUCUUCUCCAUUUGAAAUCACAUUUUAGAGCGGAUUCUUGGUCAUGCUGUUCUGAUUCUGUCCUGCUCUUGGCGGAAAUGAGAUCGGUAGAGAUUGACCCUUGAGAUUUGGGUAAAACUGAGCUGACUGAUGAGGUCCAGCAGCCGCCUGGAAGAGAUGUGGAGGCCUCGAAGCAGGAAGGCUCUGACAAGCUUAACUUUGGAGUCCACCAGUUUUCAGAACGGAGGGGCAGGUAACCUUAUUCUAUGGGGUGAAGGUGGAGG